This 80-nucleotide transfer RNA is filed under the name Luteitalea pratensis. RNAcentral describes it as "tRNA-Ala". Lineage: Bacteria; Pseudomonadati; Acidobacteriota; Vicinamibacteria; Vicinamibacterales; Vicinamibacteraceae. The record is from RNAcentral.
GCGUCACGUUGCCGAAGGCGCGAUGCGCCCCGGCGCUGGCGUCGUCGGGCGCCGCACCGCGUUCCACGCGCAGCCUCGCC